Molecule: ribosomal RNA, 253 nt
Filed under: uncultured bacterium
Lineage: Bacteria
Description: partial 16S ribosomal RNA
Rfam family: Bacterial small subunit ribosomal RNA
Source: RNAcentral
UACGGAGGGUGCCAGCGUUAUUCGGAAUCAUUGGGUGUAAAGCGCGUGUAGGCGGCUAGGUAAGUCAGAUGUGAAAGUUCUGGGCUUAACCGAGAAAGUGCAUUUGAAACUGCCUGGCUUGAGUCUCGUAGAGGAAGGUGGAAUUCCCAGUGUAGAGGUGAAAUUCGUAGAUAUUGGGAGGAACACCGGUGGCGAAGGCGACCUUCUGGGCGCAGACUGACGCUGAGACGCGAAAGCGUGGGGAGCAAAUAGG